AAGGAUUUAAGUUAAAAAAACUAACAACCUUCAAAGUUGUCAUUAGAAAGGUUUCUAAGCCUUA
This 64-nucleotide transfer RNA is filed under the name Tenebrionoidea sp. 12 KM-2017. RNAcentral describes it as "tRNA-Trp". Lineage: Eukaryota; Metazoa; Arthropoda; Insecta; Coleoptera. The record is from RNAcentral.